GACGAACGCUGGCGGCGUGCUUAACACAUGCAAGUCGAGCGGUAAGGCCCUUUCGGGGGUACGACGAGCGGCGAACGGGUGAGUAACACGUGGGUGACCUGCCCUCAGCUCUGGGAUAAGCCUGGGAAACCGGGUCUAAUACUGGAUAUGACUCCAUGACGCAUGUUGUGGGGUGGAAAGCCUUGUGCGGCUGAGGAUGGGCCCGCGGCCUAUCAGCUUGUUGGUGGGGGGAU
RNAcentral lists this ribosomal RNA (233 nucleotides) under uncultured bacterium. RNAcentral's name for it is "partial 16S ribosomal RNA". It matches the Rfam family "Bacterial small subunit ribosomal RNA", at positions 28 to 261 of the family's 1533-position model. The record is from RNAcentral.